UUAAGUUCAGCGGGUAUUCCUACCUGAUCCGAGGUCAACCUUUGGUUAAAGAUGGUCUUUAACGGCAGGAGCACCGCCGCGCCUCCCUAGCGAGAUAAUGAAUUACUACGCUCGGAGUUGCAGCGAGCCCGCCACUUCUUCAGGCCGUACGGCAGCCGUAGGGCCCCAACACCAAGCAGGGCUUGAGGGUUGAAAUGACG
Molecule: unclassified non-coding RNA, 200 nt
Filed under: Coniochaeta sp.
Lineage: Eukaryota; Fungi; Ascomycota; Sordariomycetes; Coniochaetales; Coniochaetaceae
Description: partial internal transcribed spacer 2
Source: RNAcentral